AGGAUAAUAGUUAACUAUAACAUUUAAUUUGCAUUUAAAAAGUGUUGAUCCCAACUUAUCUUA
This 63-nucleotide transfer RNA is filed under the name Rhysodes sp. BMNH-844233. RNAcentral describes it as "tRNA-Ala". Lineage: Eukaryota; Metazoa; Arthropoda; Insecta; Coleoptera; Carabidae. The record is from RNAcentral.